This 3588-nucleotide ribosomal RNA is filed under the name Triticum aestivum (bread wheat). Its description in RNAcentral is "partial small subunit ribosomal RNA". Lineage: Eukaryota; Viridiplantae; Streptophyta; Magnoliopsida; Poales; Poaceae. The record is from RNAcentral.
AUGAGCGACUCGAAGCAUCCCAUGCCGGUGCAAGGUGGUGGGGCUGUCGCUGGGGUUCGUGGCCUUAGUGGUGACCGGCGUGGUGGGGCUGAUGCUGGGUGCGGCGGUCUGCCUGUUCCUGUUCCCCACGGCUCUCGAGCUGCAGCUGCUCACCUCACCCUCCAUGACCCACAAUCUGGAGUUGGUUCAGCCAUUACAAGUGCAGAAGGGUCGUCGUUGGACCAAAGCCAGCUCCGAUCUCCAACUUCUUUAAGGGAUACAGGUAAUGUUCCGUUUGAUCCUGGCUCCCAGUCUGAUAUUCCAGUCGGACAGCAAAGGGGCUGCUCUGCAUUUGGGGUCGGAGCACGACUAGUAAAUUCUGAUGCAGUUCUGGAAGCCAUUGAAACCAUGAACCUAAUUUGCUGGAAUUGCAGAGGGCUAGGUAGAUCCCUUGCUAGUAAUAAAAUGCAAUACCUGGCCAAUUUGAUGACAUCGACGAACGCUAAGGUAACUUUUAUCUCUGAGACGCUUUCUUCAAAAACUAAGUCACAUGAUCUAGUUAAUCGUUUUCCUAUUAGUGACUGUUUUGUUGUUCCUGCGGAAGGCCGGUCUGGAGGCCUUUGGGUCAUGUGGAUGGAUGACAUCAAGUUAGAUAUAAUCUACUCUAGUCAGAAUGUAGUCUUAGCUUCAGUUGUUAAUACUAGUGCCAAUUUUAAUUUCUUGUUAGUCUGCAUCUAUGGUGACCCGCAUCAUCGCAAAAACAAGGACAUAUGGAAGUUAGUUGAGGAGUUUGUUUCUUCUUCUCCAGGGAAACCUGUGUACUGUAUGGGUGAUUUUAAUGAUAUCCUUGACCCCUUGGAGAAGAAUAGUAAUGUUGUUUUAAACCGCCUUCGUAUGGCUAGUUUUUCUAAUCAUAUUAAACGAUGUGGUUUAAUAGAUAUGGGUUUUAAUGGUCCUGCCUUUAUGUGGUGCAAUAAACGUUUUACUUCCAUUCCUACUUAUGAAAGACUUGAUCGAUGUUUUGCAAACGUUGAAUGGUGUAAAGUAUUUCCUAAUACUGCUGUGUACAACUUGCCAAUUAUGUAUAGUGAUCAUGCACCAAUUCUUACUAUCUCCAAACCUGUUACUGUUAAAACAAAAAGACCUUUCAAAUUUGAGAAUUGGUGGCUUUUAGAGGAAGAUUAUCAUGAUAUGGCUAAGAAUAAUUGGAUCACAUCUAAUAAUAAACCUUUCCAUGUUAGAGCUGCCUUACUUGCAGGUUCCCUCAAGAAAUGGAGUAAGAGCAAAAGACCUUUGCAGCAACAGCUUGACAUCAUUCACAAAGAUUUGGAGAUGCUACAAGCUAAUCCUAUUCAUUUACAGGAUCACAACAGGGAAGCUAGCCUCAUCGAGCAAUAUGACAAGACUAUGACUAAACUUACGGAAUUUUAUAGGCAAAGGGCUAAAAGGCAUUGGGCUACUAUAGGUGAUAGGAACACUAAUUAUUUCCAUAAUUCAGUGCUUAAAAGGAGAAGGAAGAAUAGAAUUAGUUCAAUCAUUGAUCAUAAUAAUAAAAUUCUUCAAAGCCCAGAUGAGAUUGCGGACUGCUUCAUAAACUACUUCAUUAAUUUAUUCUCAUCCAGUAACCCCAAUUUAGAUACUCUUCCUUCUCUGAACAAUAAUAAUGAGAAUAUAAUGGAUUGUCCUACUGCUCCAGACAAAGAUGAAGUUUUGCAGGUCCUUAAAGGAAUGAAGAAGAAUGCAUCCCCUGGACCAGAUGGGCUGAAUGUAGCCUUCUACCUCUCAGCGUGGAAGUGGAUAGGAGAAGACAUAACCAAAUUAGUUCAAGAUUUCUACGCAAGGGGUAAGCUUCAUCCUCAGCUUAAUAAAACCUGUAUCACUUUAAUUCCAAAGAAAGAAAAUGCUAAUAUUCCUCAAGAUUUCAGGCCCAUUAGUCUUUGUAAUGUAGUUUAUAAAAUUAUCACCAAAACUUUGGCCAAUAGACUCAAAGAUCUUCUACCUGAUUAUAUCCAUGAGUCUCAGCAAGCUUUCAUACAAGGCAGGAGGGUUACUAAUAAUAUUGUUAUUGCUCAAGAAAUCACUCACUCCUUUCUGCUUAAAUCCUGGAAGCACAAAGCCUUUAUGCUUAAAAUAGAUUUGGCCAAAGCUUUUGACAGAAUUGAAUGGUGCUUUAUCAGAAGGGCGUUGUUCCGAAAAGGGCUGCAUUGUCAUUUCAUAGAUUUAAUCAUGGAAUGUAUCUCCUCUGCCACCUUUUCUGUUAACAUUAAUGGGCAACCGUUUGGCAGUUUUAAGGGAUCCCGAGGCAUUCGACAAGGCUGUCCCCUGUCACCGUAUCUUUUUAUUCUUGCAGUCAAUGAAUUGUCACUUUCAAUGCAGGAGGCUUUAAAUGCCAAUCAUUUCAGCAGUAUCCAAUUAGGCCCAGGUUGCCCCCCUAUCCACUCUCUCAUGUUUGCGGACAACCUGAUUGUCUGUGGCAGAGCAGAUAAUAAUGAUGCCAAUACGAUUGCUUUUAUUAUUAAUCAGUUUUGUGCUGUUUCUGGUCAAACUCCUAAUUGGAAUAAAUCUGCCAUACUUUUUAGUAAAAGUACUUAUGAUAAUUUGAGGAACCAAAUUAAGAAUAUCUUUCCUGCUCCUAAUAUGGAUUGUAAUACUACUCAUCUUGGCCAUCCUCUUAUUUUACCUGGUAAAAAUAGACCUGCAGCUUAUAAUUUUAUUAUUGAUAAGUUUAGAGCUAAACUUAAUUGCUAUAAGGCUAACAGGUUGUCUCAUGCAGGAAGACUCACUCUUAUUAAAUCUGUUUUUGCUUCCCUUCCUGUGUAUCACAUGUCUAAUAUCCUUUUAAGUAAAUCCACCAUUAAUAAACUCACUUCCAUAAAUAGAAAGUUCUGGUGGACAGGUAUUGAUAAGGAUAAUGCUUCCAAACCUAUCUGCUUUAGGGCUUGGGAUGAUAUUUGCAAACCUAUGCAUCAAGGUGGUCUAGGCAUUAGAGAUCUUUAUAUGAUGAAUAAGUCUAUGGUUGCUAUGAUGGCUUGGAGAGUUAUUAAGAGUCCUAAUUCUCUUGUUACGAAAGUUCUCAAAGCCAAAUAUUUUCAUAACUCUUCUAUUUGGAAAGUGAAUGGCAAUGUUCCUAAAUCUGCUUUCUGGUCCUCUAUUCUCAAAGUUCUUCCUUUCAUUAGCAAGGCUAGUCAUACUCAAAUUGCUAAUGGUAAUACUUGUAUUUGGACUAGUCCUUGGUGCAAUGAUUGGGACAAUAUUUAUGAUCACCUUAAACCUAAUCUAGGUAUCCCUUGUCCUAAAGUUGUUAGUGAUCUUUGGAAACCAAAUUGUAAGAGUUGGGAUGAGGAUAAAAUUAAUAUCUUUUUCGAUGAUAAUUUCAAGAGAAAUAUUUUACAAACUCCUAUCAUUAAUGCUAAUAUGGACGAUACUUUAUGUUGGAUUCAUACCCCUAAUGCGGAGUGUACCACUAAAAGUGCUUAUAAAGCUUUGAUGCAGGAGGCCCAAUCCGGGUUACAAUCUCAAAGUCACACUAUUUCAGAUUCUGAAAUUUCUAUUCUCAAUCAGGUUUGGAAAAGCAAAAACCUGGCUCCAAGAGUCAAAACCUUUGCAUGA